AUACGGAGGGUGCAAGCGUUAAUCGGAAUUACUGGGCGUAAAGGGUACGUAGGCGGUUUGUUAAGUUGGAUGUGAAAGCCCCGGGCUCAACCUGGGAAUAGCAUUCAAAACUGGCAGACUGGAGUUUGGCAGAGGCUAGUGGAAUUCCAGGUGUAGCGGUGAAAUGCGUAGAGAUCUGGAGGAACAUCAGUGGCGAAGGCGACUGGCUGGGCUAAAACUGACGCUGAAGUACGAAAGCGUGGGGAGCAAACAGGAUUAGAAACCCCGGUAGUCC
Molecule: ribosomal RNA, 274 nt
Filed under: uncultured bacterium
Lineage: Bacteria
Description: partial 16S ribosomal RNA
Rfam family: Bacterial small subunit ribosomal RNA
Source: RNAcentral